CGAACGCUGGCGGCGUGCUUAACACAUGCAAGUCGAACGGAAAGGCCCUGCUUUUGUGGGGUGCUCGAGUGGCGAACGGGUGAGUAACACGUGAGUAACCUGCCCUUGACUUUGGGAUAACUUCAGGAAACUGGGGCUAAUACCGGAUAGGAGCUCCUGCUGCAUGGUGGGGGUUGGAAAGUUUCGGCGGUUGGGGAUGGACUCGCGGCUUAUCAGCUUGUUGGUGGGGUAGUGGCUUACCAAGGCUUUGACGGGUAGCCGGCCUGAGAGGGUGACCGGCCACAUUGGGACUGAGAUACGGCCCAGACUACUACGGGAGGCAGCAGUGGGGAAUAUUGCACAAUGGGCGGAAGCCUGAUGCAGCAACGCCGCGUGCGGGAUGACGGCCUUCGGGUUGUAAACCGCUUUCGCCUGUGACGAAGCGUGAGUGACGGUAAUGGGUAAAGAAGCACCGGCUAACUACGUG
RNAcentral lists this ribosomal RNA (466 nucleotides) under uncultured bacterium. RNAcentral's name for it is "partial 16S ribosomal RNA". It matches the Rfam family "Bacterial small subunit ribosomal RNA", at positions 30 to 507 of the family's 1533-position model. The record is from RNAcentral.